Priapulus caudatus is the source of this 201-nucleotide long non-coding RNA. RefSeq lists it as uncharacterized. The transcript is spliced from 2 exons. NCBI's taxonomy places the organism in Eukaryota, Metazoa, Priapulida, Priapulimorpha, Priapulimorphida, Priapulidae. The record is from RefSeq and is a predicted model, not a curated record.
CGAGAACACCAUUCGGACGUUCAGUGACUUCAUUGGCGAGCCUAUAUAGGACGUUAAUUUUACGCAUGUGACGAGGCCGUCUUCGAAGCAAAACACGUAAUCGCAGCUUGAGCGCCAGACAUGGGAGAAAUCUCACGCGUGUGACCAGUACCUGGCAGCCUUUCCUGAAGCACGAUGGAAUAUGUGACAAUUCAUUCCGGG